Molecule: long non-coding RNA, 1041 nt
Organism: Cucumis sativus (cucumber)
Lineage: Eukaryota; Viridiplantae; Streptophyta; Magnoliopsida; Cucurbitales; Cucurbitaceae
Exons: 3
Source: RefSeq, a predicted model, not a curated record
GGAUAAUUAUGUUAUAGGUUCCGAUUGUACACUAACAAAGUACAUUUGGAUAAAGACAAGUCACAAUUGAUGAAAUUUUCAAAAGGUUCACAAGUCAAGAGGAAACGUCUAAACAAAAACAAGUUUAAUUUAGAACCCCCUAUUUAGAAUAUUUUCAAGAUUUUGUUCAAUUUGUUGAGUUUGCAAUUUCGAGCAAGGGUGUGGUGAUUUUUCUACAAGACCCACGUCAUAUUUCGUUAAUGGUGCCUUUAGUAUUAACUUAAGGGGUACCUUGUUCAAGGUUUUGUUUCGUUUGAGUUACUUUAAUGUUGUAUGAGUUCUUCAAGUGGUAUUCAAUACAAGAUUUUAAAGGUUGAAUUUCAAUGGAAAUAGAACGAGUUUAGUGAUACUCACCAGAAAUAGAAAUGCACUGUUUGGCCUUCCUCCGACGUGGUGACAGGUGCGUCGGACAAUGGAUUACUAUUCCCGACAUCUACAGUGUUGCAUCGGAGGAAAUACAGAUCAUUAAUUGUACGUUACGCCUUCCUUCGAUGAGGUGUCAGCAAUGUCGGAAAUAGUUUAGAAAUUCCCGACGUGUCACUUAUAGCGUCGGGAAGUGACACGUCGGGAAUAGGGUUUAGGGAUUCCUGACGUGUCACUAAUUGCGUCGGAAAUAUGAUGCUAUUCUCGACGUUUUCGUUGUGCGUCGGGAGUUCUCCGUCUUUUUUAACUCCAUUCUUUACAGAAUGAAAACAGAAAAGAGAAUCGAUAAAGGGAGAGGGAGACCGAGAGGGAGAUCGUGAAGAAGAGAGCAUUCGUUGUCGUUGCCAUUUCCGUUGUCGUUGUCGUCGUCAUUACAUAUCGGUAUACCUUUUUUGAUGUUGUUUUUGUUUUAUUAACAUAAUACAUUAGGAUUUUGAAUUAGAAAAUACGAUUUUGAAUUAGUUUUUAUUGUAGGAAUUGGAUUUUUGAAUUAUGUUUUAGUUUGAAAUUUAAGAAUUGUGUGUUUGAUCAAAGGAAUCAACCUUUGCAUAUUUCUAUUUUAGAAAUCCAACUGUGUGA